CUGAUGGCUGUGACAUAUGCCCUUCAGGACACUACUGUACUGAUGGUAAUAGAAUUGAGAAAUGCCCUAAAGGAUAUUAUUGUCCACCGCAAACUAGUCUCAACUGGAAGAAGUGUCCAAAAGGUACAUAUAGUGCAGCUCUGGGUCUACAGGCAAUGUCUGACUGCACUCCAUGUGAUGCUGGUUUCUUCUGCAGUGAAGAUGGAGCAGAUCAAGUGGCUGGGCCAUGUUCACCUGGAUAUUACUGUCAGAUGGGAGUUGACACUCCUACACCAGAAGGCAACAAUGCAGGCAUAGGAGGGCCAUGUUUGGAAGGUACUUUUUGCCCACCUGGGAGCUCAAAACCAACUUCAUGUCCAGCAGGGAGCUAUAGUGACAGAAGCCGUCAGUCGGAGUGUGAUCUUUGUAAACCUGGGUAUUACUGUGC
Mobula hypostoma (lesser devil ray) is the source of this 427-nucleotide long non-coding RNA. RefSeq lists it as uncharacterized. The record is from RefSeq and is a predicted model, not a curated record. Lineage: Eukaryota; Metazoa; Chordata; Chondrichthyes; Myliobatiformes; Myliobatidae. The transcript has 3 exons.